AUUGAACGCUGGCGGCAUGCCUUACACAUGCAAGUCGAACGGCAGCACGGGAGCAAUCCUGGUGGCGAGUGGCGAACGGGUGAGUAAAGUAUCGGAACGUGUCCAAUCGUGGGGGAUAACGCAGCGAAAGCUGCGCUAAUACCGCAUAAGAUCUACGGAUGAAAGCGGGGGAUCGCAAGACCUCGCGCGAGUGGAGCGGCCGAUAUCAGAUUAGGUAGUUGGUGUGGUAAAAGCUCACCAAGCCUACGAUCUGUAACUGGUCUGAGAGGACGACCAGUCACACUGGGACUGAGACACGGCCCAGACUCCUACGGGAGGCAGCAGUGGGGAAUUUUGGACAAUGGGCGCAAGCCUGAUCCAGCAAUGCCGCGUGCAGGAUGAAGGCCUUCGGGUUGUAAACUGCUUUUGUACGGAACGAAAAGAGACUGUCUAAUACAUGGUCUACAUGACGGUACCGUAAGAAUAAGCACCGGCUAACUACGUGCCAGCCGCCGCAGUAA
RNAcentral lists this ribosomal RNA (500 nucleotides) under uncultured bacterium. RNAcentral describes it as "partial 16S ribosomal RNA". It matches the Rfam family "Bacterial small subunit ribosomal RNA", at positions 30 to 523 of the family's 1533-position model. The record is from RNAcentral.